Molecule: ribosomal RNA, 433 nt
Filed under: uncultured bacterium
Lineage: Bacteria
Description: bacterial SSU rRNA
Rfam family: Bacterial small subunit ribosomal RNA
Source: RNAcentral
GAACGAGUGUAGCAAUACAUUCGUGGCGAACGGGUGCGUAACACGUGGAUAACCUUCCUUGAGGUGGGGAAUAACCCAGUGAAAAUUGGGAUAAUACCGCAUAAAAAGACGAUGGCACAUGCCGUUGUCUUCAAAGGCGCAAGUCGCCACAAGAGGGAUCCGCGGCCGAUUAGCUAGUUGGCGAGGUAACGGCUCACCAAGGCAAUGAUCGGUAGCCGGUAUGAGAGGAUGGCCGGCCACACUGGAACUGAGACACGGUCCAGACUACCUACGGGAGGCAGCAGUGGGGAAGCUUGCACAAUGGGCGAAAGCCUGAUGCAGCAACGCCGCGUGGGGGAUGAAGCUGACUCGGAGUGUAAACCCCUUUCGACCCGGACGACAUGCCCGCAAGGGCUUGACGGUACGGGUAUAAGAAGCCCCGGCUAACGACGUG